Potamilus streckersoni is the source of this 70-nucleotide non-coding RNA. NCBI's taxonomy places the organism in Eukaryota, Metazoa, Mollusca, Bivalvia, Unionida, Unionidae. The record is from the annotation of a GenBank genome assembly.
UGGUGGCCUAGUGGUUAGAGCGUCCACCUCGGAUGCGGGAGGUCGUGGGUUCGAGCCCCUGCCGUAUCAU